CACAGAUUCUGGAGCCGUGGAUCUCGCCUCCGCUCUCAGUACAAACCACACGGUGACGGAGCUGUACCUGGGUGAGAAUAAACUUGGAGAUUCCGGAGUGAAACUGGUGUCUGAAGCUCUGAGGAACCCGGACUGUAAAAUACAGAUACUGCGGCUGAACGGUGUCGGACUCACAGAUUCUGGAGCCGAGGAUCUCGUCUCCGCUCUCAGUACAAAGCCCUCACUGACGGAGCUGGACCUGACACACAACUCCCUCACAGACCGAUGUGUCCCCGCUCUCCGCAACCUCAUACUGACCCUCCCGAGACUGGAGUGGAUCGGGCUGGUGAGGAAUAAGUUCAGUCCGACCGGGAAGAAGGAACUGAGGUCGCUGAAGACAUGCAGACCCGGACUGAAAGUGACCGCGUGAACAUCUCUGGGUGUAAACGUCACUGCCCUGGGGACCGGAAUAUUGUUGCUGUCAGGCCACGUGCCGGAUCUACCCACACACUGCACGGAGGGAGGGAGACCCGGCUGCCA
Molecule: long non-coding RNA, 519 nt
Organism: Amblyraja radiata (thorny skate)
Lineage: Eukaryota; Metazoa; Chordata; Chondrichthyes; Rajiformes; Rajidae
Exons: 3
Source: RefSeq, a predicted model, not a curated record